RNAcentral lists this long non-coding RNA (274 nucleotides) under Gossypium barbadense (sea-island cotton). RNAcentral describes it as "long non-coding RNA (GBAR_LNC008012)". Lineage: Eukaryota; Viridiplantae; Streptophyta; Magnoliopsida; Malvales; Malvaceae. The record is from RNAcentral.
CAGAGGACUUCGACGCAUCUCGAAAGGCUAGAAGCAAAGUUAUGUCACACCAUGCACAAGUUAUGAUGUGACACAAGCACUUCGAAGCCAAGAAUGGGUGAUGUUAGGGUGUCGUGUCACACCAUACACAAGCUAUGGCACAACACACCUUUUGUUUUUAGCUAAAAUCAGGCCAUUUCAAGCUUAAAGCCCGUUGAAAGUCUAUUUAUACCCACUAGUUCUAGGCAUGAAAACAUCUAUCUCAAACAUUCAAAGAAGAAAAAACACCUUCCUC